UGGGGAAUAUUGCACAAUGGGCGCAAGCCUGAUGCAGCCAUGCCGCGUGUAUGAAGAAGGCCUUCGGGUUGUAAAGUACUUUCAGUGGGGAGGAAGGCGAUAAGGUUAAUAACCUUGUCGAUUGACGUUACCCGCAGAAGAAGCACCGGCUAACUCCGUGCCAGCAGCCGCGGUAAUACGGAGGGUGCAAGCGUUAAUCGGAAUUACUGGGCGUAAAGCGCACGCAGGCGGUCUGUCAAGUCGGAUGUGAAAUCCCCGGGCUCAACCUGGGAACUGCAUUCGAAACUGGCAGGCUAGAGUCUUGUAGAGGGGGGUAGAAUUCCAGGUGUAGCGGUGAAAUGCGUAGAGAUCUGGAGGAAUACCGGUGGCGAAGGCGGCCCCCUGGACAAAGACUGACGCUCAGGUGCGAUAGCGUGGGGAGCAAACA
This 427-nucleotide ribosomal RNA is filed under the name uncultured bacterium. RNAcentral's name for it is "partial 16S ribosomal RNA". It matches the Rfam family "Bacterial small subunit ribosomal RNA", at positions 355 to 774 of the family's 1533-position model. The record is from RNAcentral.